Molecule: signal recognition particle RNA, 70 nt
Filed under: Paracoccaceae bacterium
Lineage: Bacteria; Pseudomonadati; Pseudomonadota; Alphaproteobacteria; Rhodobacterales; Paracoccaceae
Description: Rhodobacteraceae bacterium (seawater metagenome) partial signal recognition particle sRNA small type
Rfam family: Bacterial small signal recognition particle RNA
About the family: The signal recognition particle (SRP) is a universally conserved ribonucleoprotein involved in the co-translational targeting of proteins to membranes.
Source: RNAcentral
GGGAGGUUGGCGUGGACGUACCACUCGCCAACCGGGUCAGGUCCGGAAGGAAGCAGCCCUAACGAGAUUU